CCCGGCAUUGCUGUUAACCCAUUGGAUGGCUUCUCUGCUUCCAGAAAAAUAAGACUGUCUGUCCUGCCACCUAGCACCACGGAGACUAUCCCCGAAGCUGGUUUUCCUGCUACUAGCCCUGCCAUCUGCGGUUCUGCGGCUCUUGAGAAAUCAGACCUGAAUACCCCCAAAGAGGCCUGGCCUUCCUAGGAGAUCUAAGAACCUUCUCGGCCUAGGCUGGGUUGCCAGCGCCCUCUCGUGAGCAGAUCUGACCCGUCACAGAGCCAGGAAAUGACGUCGUCAGGAAAUUGCAAAAUCAAAAUAGCAACGAGGCAAGCACCUAAAUAUUAAGGGUUGACCUUGAUCAGGGCCUUGGAUGCCGACCUGCAGGCCGCACGAGGCUUACCCCCUCCACCCUUGCAGCACCCCCAUGGAGGGAGCCGUGCUACUUCUGCCAUUUUAGAGAUCCCUUGUCCAAGGCCGCCCAGCUCCCACCCAAGCCCUGAACUCAGGCAGCGGGAUUCCAAGGCGUCUUCAGAACUCACCACUACCGUGUCCCAUCAGAGGAAAAUGACUUUAAGAGGCCAUAGAGUUCUUUUCUUCAUGGAGCGACUCAAAGGACUAAUGUUGCAGGGAACUCACUUCUGGAAACACCGUUCUAGCUCAUUGAUGCUCGGCUUGUAGGCGAGGAAAUGAAGACCCAGGGAGCUAGUGGACCCGGGGACUCAGACACUCGUCAAAAGAAAGACCAGCUCAUGACUGACCCCACCGUCAAGGAACCUUUGGAAUGGGGGCAGGUUCCAUCUACUGAGGCUGAUGUGAUGUGGAAUCAGGAUCAGCCCCGUCUCAGAACGCGCUCUGUAAUGACUGGAAAGACAGAAAAAACCAACUCUUCCUUUUCAAAAGUGAGCUGGAAACACCUGAUUUUGGUCGCCUUGCUGGGCCUGCUUCUUUGCGGGAGGCUCGUCAUGUGUGGAACUCAAAGCGAUGCUGCCAUCUGCUGUAGAAGUGGAGGAUUUCCCCCUCUCUUUCCUAAACAAUUUAACAGUUGUAGAAAUAAAGGAGA
This 1045-nucleotide long non-coding RNA is filed under the name Canis lupus familiaris (dog). RNAcentral's name for it is "lncRNA (ENSCAFG00040014900.1)". Lineage: Eukaryota; Metazoa; Chordata; Mammalia; Carnivora; Canidae. The record is from RNAcentral.